CCUACGGGUGGCAGCAGUGAGGAAUAUUGGUCAAUGGACGAGAGUCUGAACCAGCCAAGUAGCGUGAAGGAUGACUGCCCUAUGGGUUGUAAACUUCUUUUAUAUGGGAAUAAAACGUUCCACGUGUGGGUUUUUGUAUGUACCAUAUGAAUAAGGAUCGGCUAACUCCGUGCCAGCAGCCGCGGUAAUACGGAGGAUCCGAGCGUUAUCCGGAUUUAUUGGGUUUAAAGGGAGCGUAGGUGGAUUGUUAAGUCAGUUGUGAAAGUUUGCGGCUCAACCGUAAAAUUGCAGUUGAAACUGGCAGUCUUGAGUACAGUAGAGGUGGGCGGAAUUCGUGGUGUAGCGGUGAAAUGCUUAGAUAUCACGAAGAACUCCGAUUGCGAAGGCAGCUCACUGGACUGCAACUGACACUGAGGCUCGAAAGUGUGGGUAUCAAACAGGAUUAGAUACCCCUGUAGUA
This 460-nucleotide ribosomal RNA is filed under the name uncultured bacterium. Its description in RNAcentral is "partial 16S ribosomal RNA". It matches the Rfam family "Bacterial small subunit ribosomal RNA", at positions 338 to 795 of the family's 1533-position model. The record is from RNAcentral.